This is a non-coding RNA of Otolemur garnettii (small-eared galago), 399 nucleotides long. NCBI's taxonomy places the organism in Eukaryota, Metazoa, Chordata, Mammalia, Primates, Galagidae. The record is from the annotation of a RefSeq genome assembly.
AUGGACAAGAUCCUGGAAGCAUCAUUUUUAAUUCUAUGGCUUCAACUAUGCUCGGUGAGUGGCCAAGAGAAGGGAAAAAGUGACCAACAGCAGGUGAAACAAGAUCCUCCAUCUUUGGUAGUCCAAGAAGGACAUACUUCAGUUUUGAAAUGUACUUAUGAGAACAGUGCUUUUGACUACUUCCCAUGGUACCGGCAAUUCCCUGGGAAAGGCCCUGCAUUUUUGAUAGCUAUACGUUCAGUUAAAAGGGAAGAGGAAGAAGGAAGAUUCACAGUCUUCUUCAAUAAAAGUGCCAAACACUUCUCAUUGCACAUAAGGACUUCACAGCCUGGAGACUCAGGCACCUACUUCUGUGCAGCAAGCACACAGGGCUCUCCAGGCACCUGCAGCCUGUACUGA